CUCGGUCUGCUUGUCACGUUACAGCCAUUCUCCGGGCGAUUUGUUCAGCUGAGUCAGGGAAAGCUGCUGCCUGCUGCUCCUGAGAAACUCUUUGCACCUCAGUAGAGACAGCGCUAAUUAACACCGGUCUAAAUUAGAGCAGAACUAAGGCUAGUGCUUGAAAAACACGGGGUGAACAUAAAACCAGGAGGGCUGUGUGCACCCCGCUGAGCUGCUGCAGGUGCCGGAGCUUAGGGCUGUGCUUGGAGCUGGUGGCAGUGCUGCUCUGUGUUAUGCAGGCUCAGCGGGAGCUGCACAAGCCCUUACUGCCCUUCUCUGCAACGCUAAGUUGGAACUGGUCUUGGUUGGUCUUGGUCUCCGAAUGAGCUCCUAUGAAAGAUGACUGUUGUGUUUCCAUCCGGAGCAGCCGAGCAGCCCAACUUAUGCCUCUGGAAGUCAGUGGAGAGAAAGCCCUGUGCACAUUCACCCCUAACUGCAGCCUGCCUCCCCUGCCAGCAGUUUCAAUGGAGCAUGGAGCAGUACCAACAAUGCAGAAAGCCAACCCACAGACUCCAAAGUGAGGCUGAGAGGAGGAAGAUGAGCGGUUCCCUCAGAGCGGCUGACGCUGCAGGAGAGCUGCAGGAGUGAUGCACGAAUCUCACAUUGAAAUGGAAGCUCUGGAUCUUGAAAGUAAUGGGGUUGUUCCACAAUUUCCCACUCUGCAAGGACAGCUCAGUACCUGGGCCUGCUGUGAUGUCAUUCCUUUUGGGAACCUUUUCAGAUGAAGUCAGUGCAGGUGACCUCCACCUCCAUCAGAACACCACCGCUGUGAUCCUGGGCUGCUGGGUUCUCAAUUGCUCGUAGCAGUUUUCCUGUCUGUCCAUCAGUAGUGCUCCGUCAGUGUGCUGAGUUACAUCUGAGCGUUGGAAUGCAGCUGAGCUGAAUAAUCCCUACAGAUAGGAAGAGGAGGUGGAUGCACUCUCCUCAGGAAGAAGAGUCCAAGAGGAUGAUAGCAACAAUCCAGCUGGGCCCGCAAGUCAACCCCAUUCCCAGAUUUAGCCGAGAACUUUGGCAGUUUUUGAGGUGCUUGGGAUUUUGCCCUGGAUCCGCAGUGUCAGGAGUGGCUGCUGCCCAGAUUUGCAAGGUGUGGUACGGCCACUGCUGAUGCCAAUAGUCAGGGAGAGAGGAAUGAAACCUGCUGAGACUUUGGGAUGAAACAAAUCGGUAUUAAUUAAAAGCAAAUGCUGUCUGUUGACUAAGAGGUUCCAAAGCAGAUGUUUGUCAAAAUCGCCAGGAGAUGGGUCAUCUGAAAGCAGAAUUUAUAAAUAAUGAGAAUGAUGUCUCUGGUUAUUUCAUGUUUUCUCAGGUCAAAACCAGGUGUCAGUCAGUGGUGGAACUAUCACAGAGUGAAACACGUCGUGCUGUUACACUGCAGGGAGCUCCAUGCCAUCAUCUCUGUGCUUGUGACCCGUGCACCCAAAGCACUGUGCACCUAUAGACCUGUGGCAGCAUUACAUGCACAGCUGGCAGCAUGCUGGGCAGGCCCUCACAUCACUCCUGCAGGCAGAGGCCGGCAGCCUCGCUCCACCAAAUGACUCUCUGCAAUUUUAUGCUCAGGUGAAUGCAUGUUGGAAUGGCAUUGGCACCUCUGGAGGUCUCCAUCCCUCUCUGGCAGCAGCACAGAGGAAUCUGGGCAGCUCACUCUGUUCUGUCCUGGGAUACAUCAGAAGGGGAUGAAGAAACGUCCAGCUGUGAUCCAAACCAGCUUUUCCAGCCCUCUUUCAAAAAAAUAAAAAAAGUGGAGGCAGAAGUGUCACCAUCAGCAGCAGGGGACGUGGACUUCUGGGGGAGGAGAGCAUCAUGCAGAAGGGGCUGCUCAGUGAGGCCCUGGCAGGUACAGAACCAUGAGGGACCCGGCAGCGCGGAGCCAACAGGGGCACCCUGUGCACCCCAGGAGCAGAGACAGAAGAGCAGAGAGACAGCAGCUGCACCAAGCCAAAACCCUACGAAAUAGUCCUUAAGCCUUAAUGAAACCCAUAAGAUAACCUUGAAGAUGAGAAUGGAUGCGCCCAAAGUCCCCCAUGGAUGUGUCGGAUAAAGCCAUGUUUGGAGAUGUCAAAGAGAUUGCGGUGGGAUGGAGGACGCUCACACUUUGCUCUCUGUUAGGGACAUUGGCCCAGAGUGCUCAGGUUCUAUUUAUGUCUACAGGGGAGAUGCACACCUACAGGGUGACACAGGCAUGCGUGCAGCCUGGACAGAUGUCCACGUGCCUAUGGACAGACAUCUGGACCCAUCCACCCUGCAUGCCAUCCCAUGGCACAGAGCAUGGGGACACCACCAGCGUGCAGCCAGGAGGCCAUGGUACCACAAUGGAGGGGUUGUUCUGCACUUUAAUGGAGGAAAAAAAAAUCCUAUAGUGCAUCAUGAAUAGUCCAAAAUGCAAAGAUGACAAUUUAAGUGUUUAAAAUGUACUCAAGGUAAUUCCAAACAAAUUUUAAAGCCAUUUCAGACUAUAAAACCCCUCAGCUAAAUCAUUGGUUAUAUGGCGGCAGUGCUUAUGUUGCAAAAUAUCAUGAGCAUGAAAGGGAAAGUUUUAAAGAUUGCCGGUUAAUCCUUAUAAAUGAGUUAUUGGCAUCGCAGAGCUGCAGCUGGAGGAGCUGCCUGCUGGAGGCUGAGCCCACUGGGAGCCCCGGGGCUGUGAUCUGUGGGGUUUGGUGAUGGUAUCCCUGCAGCACUGCAUCCCUGCAUGCUGCACCCAUGCUGUUGCGUGGCCCACAGCAUCCCUGCACUCAACACCUCCCAGCUGGGCCCAGAAGGAGCAGGAAGGGUGCACAGAGCCAGAGUACUGCCUCCCAGUGUGGGAUUCCUCCUGCAUCCUGCUGGUGGGGAAACGCACUGGGGAGCAUGGAGAGGGAAUGCAUAAAAGUUGGUUCCCUCCCUGCACUGCGCUGAACUUUUCUCCCCGUGUCUGCGCCCUGAUUUGAGACACAGCACUCCUCUCCUCUCCCGCUCUCUUCCUUUCACCAAACAGAUGUAACUAUUUAUUCCUUAUGUCCCAGUUUUCCUGUAAUUUCAUAAAGUGCAAAUUUGCUGUCCUGCUCCCAAAUGCCGAGUCGGUGGUUUGUCAUAACAGUCAUCAGUAACUGUCGCUUUCUGCCUGGGGCUUAAUUAACCCACUCUCUCAUUAGCAUGUCCAUGCAGUUGUAAGGAAUGAAAGCCUGAUUAUUUUCUACAACAGUCGCAGCCAAUUACUGCACCGAAAUGGAACCACAUUAAUCAAAUCUUUAGUACAGUGGCAAAUUCAGAGAUAUCAGAUUGCAAAAGACUGCAAACCUAAUAUGUCACUGUCAGCGGAGCUACGCAGGCAUUUAGCGAAUUGCAUUAAAUAGAUGGCUUCGCUGAAACCGCAUGAAUUUAAUAUGUGAUGGGAUCUGGAAGCUAUUAGUGUGACAUGGCAAAGCACUGGGAGCUUGGCAGCUCUGGACUUUAUCCAUGAACUCAGGAAACUCAUGCACAAACUUGUGCGCACGCGGCAGAACGCAGCACUGCUGGGGCACAGCGCAGAGCACAGUCAUGGCCGAACCCACAGCGCUGUGCAGGGCUGGGAAACCUCCCCCCAUCCCACCACAUCCCCACUGUGUGCCAUGCAGCAGCACAGCUCACGUGGAUGUUCUCCAUCCUACCGUUCUCUUCCAGCAAAAGGUGCAGCUGCACGUUCCCUCUCCAGGCUGCUAUCUGCCAUCUACCUCAUGCAUGCCUGCUUCGAGGUGUUUCAAAUAUAUAUAUAUAUAUAUUUUUUUUUUCCUAAGCAAUCAAUCUGUGCAACCGAGGAGCUGAAUUUAAAUACCGGGGUUUUCAUUAUCUCCAACACAGAAAAAAAAGACAGAAAGGGGAGAGAGGGACAUUGAAAAUGGAGUGAAAUCAAUUCCAAUCUGUUGAGUGACACCUUUGGAGGUGUGCACAAUCCACAUGGCGUCUGGUUGGGGUGCACAAAAUCUACCUCUGCAUUAGGGAAGUGUGUUGCAGAUGUCCUUUGGCUGCACGCUGCUUCCAUGUGGGUGCCACAGCCCAACUUAUGGGCUCUGCAGUGCGUUAAGGCGUAAUGCUCUCCCCAGCCAUGCAGGUGCAUACAGGCAGAGCUUCUCCAGUGGGACACAGACCUGGAAUGCCUUCUUCAGAAAAAGAAACAAAUGAUCCCUGGGCUGGGCUCGCUGACACUGCUCUACUUCAAAGAACAGCCUCCAGCACUUGGAUUAAUUAGCUACAGGAUGCAAAUGCCCUUGUGCAAUAAAUCACCUGGGCAUGCACAGUCUGCACAUGCAGCUCCUCAGGAUGCAAACCACCCGCCAGGCCCUGGGCUGUGUGCUGUGCUGCGUGUCCUGUGUCAGCCUUUAUUCUGUCCCCAGGGGAGAGCAGUGCUGAGCGGAGCAAACCCUGGAGCUGAGAUAGCUGCAACACCUGCAGAUCCCCGGGCUUCAGGGUUCCUAAUCCUCGAACAUACAAUGCUCAGGAGGAUCUUCCCAUGUCCCCAAAGCGGUAUCUCCUGCUGCACUUUGGUUUUAAGUACUCACUCUCCUCCCUGGAGACACUAUUACAAAGUCUGAUGGAUUUGCUCUUGCAGAGCUCUACUGGGGGGAGCCUCUUCUGCAUUAUUUAAAAUUUUCAGUGUUGAAAAAUCAAUGAUUACACGAGAAGUGCUCAGAGCUCAGGCAAGUUGCGGGCGAAGCUUCAGGGAAGCUGAGCCCAGAGGCAAAGCAAAGCCCCAGCUCAGCUCUGCAGCACGCGGGGCGCGUGCCAAGCUCUGCUCCGUGCCUGAGCCCAGCAGAUGCACCAUGAGCCCCACGUGGCUGGAGGACCAUGUGGGUGACCCAUGGAGCACUGAUGACCAACAGAUGCAUUACCAGCUCGCCCCAUCCCCACUCACUGCCAUCACAGCUCCCAUGUCCAACACCAGGGACAAAUGUCAAAGCCAGCACUUUGGUUCAAAAUCAGAUUGGAAUGUCCCUUCCUAAUCACAGAGGUGCACAAACUCAAUGUCAUCUGUAAUGAUUCAGAACAAAGCCUGGAAAAAUAGUGUCCCAGCACACAAGGAUCCUAAAACCUUUGAUAUACGGCUUGCAUUAUUAGCAAUAAUUUCUGUGACUGCAUCCAGAUUCGCAGGAGCACAUUCAGUGAUAACCAUGUGCUUUGGCUCACGGCAUCCCAUGAUAGGACAAGGGGGAAUGGUUUUAAACUGAGACAGGGGAGGUUUAGGUUGGAUAUUAGGAGGAAGUUUUUCACCCAGAGGGUGAUGACGCACUGGAACAGGUUGCCCAAGGAGGCUGUGGAUGCCCACAGGCAUUCAAGGCCAGGCUGGAUGUGGCUCUGGGCAGCCUGGGCUUGUGGUUGGUGACCCUGCACAUAGCAGGGGGUUGGAACUGGAUGAGCAUUAUGGUCCUUUUCAACCCAGGCCUUUCUAUGGUUCUAUGAUUCUGAUUAUCCCAACGCCUCCCCAUGCCUGGAUCCCCCAGCUCUGCUUUGGGGACAGCCCUGCUCUGCCCAACACUCCCUGAAGUCCCAUUCCCCAGCAGCCACCGCAGCCCCACUGCUGCUCACAGCCCCGCGUGCACCCAACAAUAAAAGGCGUUCGCCAACCUCCGCCUCUUUUCACAGCCAGGCUUCAAGUUCACGUGUGAAUUUAUGCCAGUUUUGACAUUAGCAGGAAAAAUUAACAGUUCUCACACACCGAAAGGAAAAAAAAAAAAAGAAAGAGAAAGGAACGAAACUCACACAAAAGAGGUUUUGUGUUUCAAGCAGAAUAAAUUAUGGUGUGAUGUUAUUAAAACACUUAGUUGUUAAGUUGCCAAGAAAAUCCAGUAUAUUCACACGGACUCGAGGACCUGUCUCCAUGCAAAGUAAUUAAAUUAGAUUUAUGGGCUGCAUUACAUCAGUGUUUGAUAGUUCAUUUUUCCUUUCUUCAUAUUUUGUCCUGCUUUAUUAGAGCAUGUGACAGAUGGUAAAAAUAGUGUGAAGUUUCUUGGCCCUGUGCUAAAUCCCCCUUCGGUAGUAUAUCUCUCCUCUGUCAGUUCUCCCCAGCGAUGAUAAAUUAACCUCUCCUCUUCUAUCCCAAGUGUGGCAGUAAAGCACUCUUUGACACAGCGCUAUCACUUUAUCUUAAUCUGCACUGGGCGGGGAGGGGGCGGAUGGGAGAUGAUGCAAUCGCUGCCGUGAGUUGGGAAAAACAGAGAUUUAUGGUGUCAAAAAGGGGGAAACGGGAAGGCAGGAGGAGUGCUGAUCUAUAGGAGCUGCUCUGUGUGUCUGUGUGUGCGUAUAUAUGUGUGUAUACAAACAGCAAAAGCAGAGGUGUGGCUGCUCACUGUGGGGUCUUCUGCAUGGGGCCGCGUGGACCCCUCCCUGGGGACCCCUUUGUGUCCCAUGGGGUUGAGGGAUGCACUGAUGGAGUGGCCAUGGGUGGAUGUAUGGGGAUGUGACGUGGGAUGUCUGCAGUUAUGGAGCCCUCGGGGCAGCGCAGCCGUGGGGUCGGCACCUCCUCACCCAGCUAUAGCAUCUCUGAUUUGUGGAUCAAUAAUCAGAUAGCACAAAUUGUGGUGUCAAUGAAGCUGAAGCCCGUUAGGAAAAGUAGCGAUGUGAUGAGCAGCUCUUUGCAGAAUGGCUGGGAAGGGGGGAAGCCUGAUUGGGGUGUGGAAUUUGGGACAAAUUGAUGAAAUAACACCCAGAGGGGCAGGCGCCGGGCAUCACAGUGCUGCAGCUCUGCUUUCCAAUGAGAGCCCUACAGCACUCCUGGGCCAGCCCCAAAGUGGUUUGUGCUUAAAAGGAAAGCACCGAUCUCUCCAAUGCCGCCAUCAGCACAAAGGAAUUAAAAUAGCAGCUGGCAUCCACAGGGCUGUGGACUAAUAAGGAGCAGAGUGCCCACGGAGUGUGCAGGCUCAGGGUGAUGACAGUGGGAUCGGCCCCGUCCCAUAUUGCUCAUGGUGUGGAAUGGGAACAAAACCUGCUGAAAGCUGACCCACAGCUGUGCUCACAGCUCUGCUGGGAGAGACAUGAGAUGGUCACAGCAACAGUGGCACUGCUCUGCAGCACAGAAAGGUCACAGUGGCAAUGGCACUGCUCUGCAGCACGGGGGGGGGUCGCAGCAAUUGUGACGUUGCACUGCUGCAGGGGGACACAGCGAUGGUGGCAUCGCAUUGCAUUGCAUUGCAGCAGGCUCAUAGUGAUGGUGGCAUUGCAGCAGAGGAGAAUCACAGCAGUGGUGGCAUUGCACUGCAGCACAGGGGGUCGUAGCAAUGGUGGCAUCGCAUCGUAUUGCAGCAGGGUCAUAGUGAUGGUGGCAUUGCACUGCUAUAGGGGUGUCACAGUGAUGCUGGCAUUGCAUUGCAGCAGGGGCUGCAGGCCUGGCGUGCUCAGUAGCCAAUCGCACUGCGGUACGAGCCCAAGGAAAGCUCAUCAUUAAACCUGUAAUUUAUUUCUCCUGUAUUUCAUAAAAUGUGAAAUAUUACUGCUCUUCGGGUGCCCAGAGAGAACGGGGAUGCUCCAUUAAGUUCGACACUGCUCCUCCAUAAGAUGCAGUAAUUAUAUGCAGCUUUUUUUACUGCUAAGUUCCUACUUGCAGAUGCUAACAAAAGAAAUAAGCUUUUAAUCCAAACAUAAUUAAUAUGAAUUACCUCCACAGUACACCCUGGCUUUGCACCAUUAAACUUAAUUUUUGUUUUGCAUGAUAAUUGUGUUAUCAUUACCAUUUAUAGGAGAACUCAGGGACCUUCGCUUUGUUUGCAGCCCCGACCGAAGGUGGUGGCGGUGGAGCUGUCGGCCUUGCACAGCUCUGGCUUUGCUGCUUUCAGCCUUCUGUGCUUGUUUGUUCCCUUUACUCUUUGCAUGGGGAUCUGCGCUGCUGCCCACACGGAUGGGGAAUGAAUCCCACCAUGGGGAUGCAGCAGGAGCUCGGGAUGCUGCAGGCAGAGCCAGCAGUGGGAGCAAAGCAGGGCUGCAGCCCACUGCCCCAAAGCCAUGGGGCCGACCUGAAGCCCCACAGCUAAUUAACCCCGGGAUGAGUUUGUGCGGUCACAUUUCAGGAAGGAGAGAGAUGAAAUCAGGUCCCGUAAUUAUUUAUUGAAAUUACAGCCCUGUCGAGGAGGGCUGAAUUACUGCAGACUCCAUUAGCUGUGGAUGGGAGAGAGGGAAUGAGAAAAUGAUGGAUGGGAGAGACAGAGAGAAAUUUUAAAACUAAAAGGGGAAGAUGAGGGCCAGCAGUGCCCAAAUGGCACAGGGAGAGCGGAUGGAGGCAGGAAAAGUUUUCUCUGCAGUGGUCUGAAAUCAGCACAGUGAAUGAUCACAUAAAUAUAUUAAUUGUGCUAAUUAAUUUCCCCAGGAAAGAGGUUUCAGGAGCUGCAGGCAGCAGGUAGCUGGAGAAGGGUGAGAGCGUCACUUUGCAGGCAGUGCAGAUUCCCCCACUGGGGCUCCUCCGUGUGAUGCUGAGCUUUGGUCCAUGGAUGGGUCCUUCGAAAAUCUCAGCAGCAAACAUCUUAGGAAUCAUGAUAUGAUCCCAGCUGUGGAAUGGGACUGGGCUGAUGGGAACUGGGGGAUCCCACCACCACCCCACAGAGAGCAACAGGGGAUCCCACCACCAUCCCGCAGAGCUCCCUCUGGCCAAGGGCAGACCCCCACCCCCAUCCCUGUUGCUUCUGCCCUAUGCCACCUUCCCAACUCCACUGGAGGUGCAGUGAGUGAUGCACACACCGCGGUGCCCCUCAUCCCCUCCCAACCUGCCUCCUGAUAAUAAUGAGCCCAGACACUUUUAUUAUCAUUAUUAAUUAGCACUUUCAAGCAAUGGAAUUAAAUCAAUAUGGUGGACUGAAACUAAUUUUAACAAGCCAUUGAGAUCAAUCAUCAGGACUUUUAUCUACAUAAAUGCCACUAAACUCAGCUCGUUAGUGUAACAUUAGCUGGGAAAGGGGGGGAGAGAAGGGAGACUGGCGGGGUUUUAAUUAGGAAGACAUAAACCGUACCACAAUUUUUCUUCUUUGAUUUGCUUUUAAUCUCGUCCGUGAGCUCUCCCGGUGCCCCGGCUGAGUGCUGGGCUCCCACCUCCUCCCAGGGAGCAAUGGCAGCAGGAGAGGGCUGACCCUGGUCCCCAGGAUCAGAGCAGAUGAGAGUUUGCCAUGCAGGGCUCCCACUGCAGCCCCAGCCUGGGUCUGGGAACCCAGGGAGGUGCUGGGUCCUUUGGAGCCCCAUAACAGCUGGGAAGAACAGCCAGCUGGGGGACCACAGACUGAUGGGGGGAAGUGAGGGGCUCUGAUGCUGCAGGCUUCCAGCCCUGUCCAGUUUCUCAUUAGCACCACUCAUGGUACCCUCCAUAGCCCAGCAGUGCCAUGCUGCUUUACACCACCUGAGGAUCUGUCCCCCAGUGUCACCUUUCCCAGUGUCUCUGCCAUACCUUCCUGAGAAAUAUGACACACACACCAGAAAAUAUUUCCUUUUUGUUUGCUGGAUGGGUAAUAACUCGCCUCAGAGACAGCCUUUACAGUCAGCACAAAAGUAAUUUACCUACAUGCAGCACAACCAGAUUGCAAUAAAUCUGCUGCUUCCCAACCUUGCUGUACUCUGCUGCACCGUGCCAUGAUGCACCAUGCCAUGUUGCACUGCAUCAUGCCAUGCCGUGAUCCAUUGUGCCAUGUUGCACCAUGCCAUGUUGCACCAUUCCAUACCAUGCCAUGCCAUGAUUCUCCAUGUCAUGUUGCACUGCACCACGCCAUGCCAUGAUGCAUUGUGCCAUGUUGCCCUGUUCCAUGCUGCACUGUGCCAUGCCAUGCCACGAUGCACCAUGCCAUGAUGCACUGUGCCGUGCCACGCCAUGCCAUGCCACGCUGCUUGCUCCAGCCCCAAAUAAGAGUUAAUAUCUGUGAGCACCAAAAAAUAAAUAAAGGGAAUGGAGAGCACCACCACGGCAUCAGGGCCCUAAAUCACCAAGCCUUGCCUGUCAGCCAAUUUCUCUGCAGAAAGCUCUUAGCAGUUAAUUUCUGGCUAAUUUAUUAUCCUUCGGCUUAGCCCUACAGCACCAUUAGCAGUACACUGACACAACUGAGUGAAAUAUUGUCUAAUUUAUUAUCUUAUUACUCCUCUGGAACAGGAUCAAUUAAUUACCCAUUAAAGUAUUUCAGUUGCAGAGAUUUAUUAGGGGGCUCGGCGCUUUAACAGAUGAUUAGUUAUAUAUGUUUGUUUGCCCGAGGAGCGCAGACUCGCAAAUGACUGGAGGGGAAGGGGAAAGACACCGCGUCGGGAGGCACCUAAUGGAUCUUCUCUUGACUCUCUGAAAAUGGAGCAGUCAAUGACAAGAAUUAUCGACUCAUUCACUUGCGGUUUGGAGAUAACCAUAUGUACCGGGAGGGAGAGGGGGUGAAGGGAACGGGGAGGGAGAAAAAGCCUCACUCAACUGCUUUUUCCAUUCAAUAAAUUUGCUGCAGAAUAUAUUGGAUUGGGGUUUGAUGGCUAUUUCGUGUUUUGCAGAGUGCUGACACUGGUAUGAUUCAGUAAUUAUUGUUUCUUUUAAGUUAUUGCUGUAAUUUUGCUUUCUAAGAUCCCAAUCAAUUCCCGCCUCUCAAGGGCACGCUUGAAAAGCGAUAUUUGAAAACAGCCCUCUGAUAGAUUGUGCCGUUAGACAGUGGCUGAGACAAAUAGCCUAAUCUGGCACAAAUUAGCUUGGCUUCCACAGAUAGUUUUAUACAGCGAUGUAAAUUAUAUUGUCAGGGCCAGUCACUUUCCUGCUUAGAGUGCAGCUAACAAGAAAGAGCUGAGAUGCUGCCGGGGCUGCCGUGAGCUCCAGGGUGGCUGUGGGGCGGCUGUGAGGCAGCUAUGGGGCUGCUGUGGGGCACAGCAAUGGGGCGGGGGGUGGCAUUGACUCAGCCCAAGCACUGAGUGGUGGCGAUGCAAAGCAGCGCAGGGGUGCAGCACUGAGGUCCCCCCUGCUCCACAACUUUGGGGGGCAGCUGAUGGAUGGCAAAGCCGAAGCUGCCCCCAAAGCUCCUUUGUGGCCCCAUUGGUUCCCCAUGUCCAGAGCGAGUGGAGUCAGGGUGGGUUUAGGGGUUGCAGGCUGUGCAGAUUGGAAGGGAGGGAGAAGCAGAGUGAUCUGGAAUUGCUGUUGCAGCACAGGAGCACCCACAGAUGUAUUUCUAUGCAACUCUCCACCCAUGGAAUCCAUCACUGCGAGAUAGCACAGACAGCCUGAGCAGCAUGGAAAUGGGGUGUUUAGGCAACUAAGCAGGUACACAGCCACCUAAUGAGACAGGCUCCAUUUAAAUCAAGUGAUGAGGAUCGAGAUCUCACUGUGAGCCACAGAAGCAGGCAGGGAUGGGGCUGCUGUGGCCUCAGGGCUCCUGGCUGAGCUGUGGACCAUCCCCAGGGCUGCACUGCAAGGCUGCAUCAUCACCUCCAUCACAUGCAGCUGCAUCGCCCCAUCACCGCAUGCACACAGGUGCUGCAAAUGAAAAAGAGCACAAAGGAGCAUCCCCAGCAGCAGUGCCCUUGGCUGGGCAGCAGAGCCAGGAGCUGAGCCCGGCUCCAUCCCACCUCCAUGCAGUGUCCUUCCUUUCUGCUGGUGCAAUUCUCGUUCCUCUUCCAGCAGCUGAGUAAUGGCUUUGGAAAGAUGGCACUGAGCUGAUUUAGGGGCUUGACCUUGGGAAUGCUCCUGCAAAAGCUGCGGUUUCCUGAGCACAGCUUCAUGUUUCCUUUUAUGAACACUUCGCAGGUUACACGUAUAUUUGGGUAUGUAGCAACUGAGUGGGAAAAAAAAUAUGCAUGCUAGAGAGAAAGAAGAGAUGAAAAAAAAUCCCUUUUAUAUCUCCAGGCUGCCUUCAGCAACAGCAUUCCUAAAUAGGAGAGGUUAAAUAUAUUGCUGCCAUUACACUCUACAAGGAACACAUUCCAUAAAAACGAAGGUGCCGUAAAUUAUACAAAUAUGAUGCUAACAAGCCAGGAAAUGCACUGCUAAUGAGGUCAGCUAUAGAACUCCCGCAGUGCUGCAAAUCAUGUGCCAAUCCGGCGCAGGAGGUACAGGAGCAGCCCUGGGUCAGCAUUUUCUGAGCGCAUUUGUAACCUGCUGUUCAGCGAAUAGUCAUACAGGUAGAUAAAAAUCCUCCUCCUCUCCUUGUUUAUGUGUCAAAUAAGCACGGCAGCAGACAAUCACGCUUUGCAUUAAUGCACCUUGCUAUUACGCCUAUUGUUCUGUGCUCGGAGUGGAGAAUUAGUCACUCCAAUGUGCAAAUAUUGGUUACAGUUUGGAAGCGUGCACGCUUUUGUGUUCCUAUCAGACUUGCUCCUGGAGGAAUUAUGCAUGCUGGCAUCAGGGCUUUUUCUUUCCUUGUACGUACUGUAUUUGCUAAAGCUCUUAAAAGGGGGAAAAAAAACCUCAAAUAAACAUGUUUGCAGCAGGUGAGUUAUUGGCUCAUUCAGACUGCCUCUCCUGUUAGGCACUGGGACAAUAACUGUGUUGAAAUGAAGCGUUUAGGAGCCCACAUGAGAAACCUGCCCCAAAUCUGCAAGGAUGGAGAAUGAGCUCAGAACCCUUUGGUCCGUUUCAUCCCAGAACUGAGGAGAAGUGGCCCUCACCCCACAUAACCCAGAGCUGAGAUCUCCGCAUGGCCGUGGCUCGGGACCCCUUCUUCGCAUUGCAGAACAGUUUGGUUGGAUGCGACCUCAACACCGCCAGCAGCACACAGGAACCCUGAAAUUGCAUUGCCCUGCAGACCGAGCCCAGUGCUCGGCUAACACAGAGCAUUUCCACCAGCCAGCCUUGGAUAUGGGUUUCCCAAGGCAUCGCCUUCGUUCAUCCACUUACUUAUGCAUUCAUUCCUUCACCCCAGGAGGAGCACAAGACAAGCCGAGCUGCUGUCCACAGUGGUACCCAUUUCUCAUGACCUCGGCUGGGAUGACCACACAGCACAGAGGACAGACAUCCGUGGGACUCUGAGCUGCCACCAAUGGAGGUGAUCAUCCCAGAUAAAUGCUGGUGAUCCCUGAGAUGUGGGACCCGCUCAGACCGAGCAUGAAAUACACAUUCCCAUCUUCCAUUUCCAUCCAGACUUUAUGGGUCCUCCACGGAGAAAAUAGAGCAAAAGCCCAGCUCAAAAGCCUCUCAGCUCAGCAAAUGAAGGAAGGAGGAAGCACGCUGGCUGCCCGGCCCAGGUGGAAGGGAUUAUCUCUGCGUGAGAGGAACCAGACAGAGCCAUGGCAGAGCUUCCCACUGCACCCAAUGGGACUGCAGAGCUUGGAGGGCUUGGGAUGUGUUUGCUGGCCACCAGCACAGGGCUGGUCCUGCUGGACGCCUGCUGUCCUCGGGUGCUGCUCAUAUGAAGAACCGCUGCAGGCAGAAUGCAUGUCUACAUUUAAUAAGCUGGAUAUUUACGUUAACUAAAUAGCAGCUAAUUAUGAAAACAUACUUAAGAGUCUGAGCAAUUAAGCAAUAAUAUAUUACAUACUUAUUAAGCCUCCAAUACACAUGUCCUUAAUAAUCAAAAUAUUAAUAUGCAGCUACUCUUCUAUUAUACAGCAACUCUGCUAUUAUACAGAGAGUGUCCUAUUACUGCCAAAUUAAAUGCGUAGUUAGGCGAAUUUAGGACACUUAAUUUAAUGUGUUCCCAAGAGUUCACUAUGGCAGAAACUGCAAGACAGGCCUCAACACAGGCAGCGCAGGCCUCCCAGAGCUGCCCUUUGCUCCAUGCCACAUGGCUUCAGCUGUCCAGGGAUUUGCUCAACCUCUUUGGGGCAGCCCAUUGCUGGGAGAGGCCAAUCCUUAGCUCCCAAUUCCCAGCUCUGUAGGGUCUUUGCGUUGGCUUCAGUGGAUCACAAUGGAAGUGAGGAAAAGAGGCAUUGUGAAGCAGAGCUGGGAGUGGAGAUGCUUGGGGAGAAAGCCAGCUGCAAGUGGGGAAACCCAUGGGCAGGCUCCUCCACUGCCCCAAACACCAGACAUGUUAGACAUGGUGCUGUCACUAGGUGCUGUUAUACGUUGUCGUAUCUUGAGUUAUGAUGCAAGGUGAGGGUGCUGAACACACCUGUAAAUCCUUACUGUAAAACCCAGGGGUAUGUUUUCCCUUCUUCAAUUAAGCCCCAAAACAAUAGGCUUCAUUCUUCAUCACUAUGCAUUUUUUUCCCUGUGCACAGUGGGUGUGAAGUGUAAACAGGCUGAUUUGGUGUCAAUUUACACCUCAUUGUGCAUAGGAAGAAAUAAGGGUGAGAAAGGCAGGGACUGGCAGGGCCUCUGAGGUUCAGAGACCAGAGGGAAUGAGAAGAAAACAUGGAUUCCUGUGCCAGGAGGCCCUUUCAGUUAAAAUAAUACAAAUAGUACCACAUCAAAAUGAUUCUCUUUGUAAUAUUUGAGGUGAGGAUGGGGGCACGGGUCUGGAAAGCCAUGGAGUGCCCCUGGCAGGCCACAAAAUGUAGAGACACGUGUAGGGCACAAGUGGCAACCACAAGUGGGGGUGGGCAGAGUGCCCCACUGAGGAGCUGCUGCCCGCUGCUGGAUGUUGCUGAGGCUGUUUCCCAUAUGGCUCCUGGCUGGGAUGAUUUAUGGGGUGAGGAAAGCAUGCUGAUAAAUGUUGCAGCUGGGCCUGGCGUGGACCUGGGGUAUCACAGCCCCAUCCAGACGGCCUUAAUGGAAGCUGCCGGCACCGCCGAGCAAGGCGUUAUUUAUGGCCGUCUGUAGUGCCACUGCAGGGCAUUCAUCAUUGCUUUGGGCUGAGGGUGAGAGCAGGACGAGACCACGUGCUGCUGUGGGGAGGAGAGGGUGCAGGAGCCGGGGCUGAGCUUUCCUUGGGGAAAAGGCUCCGUUCCCUCAGCUGCUCCCAAUGUUCUCCAUCAGUGAUUGACCAGUGGGAUGGGAUGGGAUGGGAUGAGAUGGAGAUGGGAUGGGAUGGGAUGGAGAUGGGAUGGGAUGGGAUGGGAUGGGAUGGGAUGGGAUGGGAUGGGGUGAGAUGGGAAUGGGAAUGGGAAUGGAAUGGAAUGGUGGCAUCUUGGACCUGUGUCAGCCAAAUCCCUGCAGCCGUGGAUGGAAAAAGGGCUCUCCCCAUUGCUGCAGCUGCUGGAAGAAUGAAAAAAUAAAUAAAAUUUAAAAAAAAAAAUUAAAAGGGAGCAGCUAUAAAAUGGAGAUACUAAUAAAAUGUUCCAGGAAGAUGAAUUCUUCCGAUAUAAUGGUGAUCCCUGAUACUGAAAUGUUCCACAAAUACAUUUUCAUAGCCCCACUCAGUAUUAUUUGUAGAUCUUUUUGCAACCCUUGUCAACAAAUUCCUGAUAAAAAGGAGACACUUUGCUGUGUGCUAAAGCUAUGAAUUUAAGAAGUGUCAACCGGUCCUUAUUUAUGGUGCAAUCUUUGGCUUUCUCAUUUUACUGAUGGGCUUUGGUGCAGACUUGCUGCUCCACAUGCACAGUUUGGGGUGAAAUAAACGAUCCCACUCGGGUUCACCGUGGUUUGGGUGCCCCGGUGCUGAGCUACGCUGUGCCCAGCUUUCACCCCAUGCCUGUGACCCCGGGACCUAUAAAGGAGGCUGUGCAAAGCCGGCUCUAACAAAAACCUUUUCCGGUACAAAUCCAUGUACAAAUCAGCAACAGAUUAUUCAGAGUUUGUGCUUGGCGGGUGCUGACAGUAGUUAAUGAAAUAACGGCUGAGAAAAGUCCUGCUUGCAGAGUGCUGCUUGGGCACAGCUGUAUGGGGCCAUGGAAUGGCUGCAGCCAAGCAGCCCCACGCUGCAUUCCCCAUGUCCCCAUAUGGAUCGAGUUCUUGCUGGGCUCUGCAUGGAGAUGCCCAUCCCAGCAUCAUGGUGUGGGAUGCCAGCGGUCCUCCCAUUCCUGGGGGCACAAUGGGGGCACUGACAGCACUGGAGCUCCAGGAUAGAGGAGCCAGGUGUGGAGCCCAGUUCCUCCAUGCUAGGAGCCACGGGGACAAUGGGCUCCAGUUAAAGCUGACCCUACUCUAACUAUGGCACGUGUUCAUAAUUUAAGCUCUUUACAACAGUGCUUGGUUAACACCGGAGCCUGCUCCCCGCUGCCCGUACCUUUUGUUGGGGUGAUUUACUGUUCCUCUGUGCCCCUCUGCCCACUGAAAUUCAUAACAGCUUUCAUGCAGCUAUCAAAAAGCCCUUAAUUAUAGCUGUGUCUGGUCGUGCCAUUGGAGCUAAAGGGCCUGCUGGCACUUUCCUUUCACAGGAAUCCAGUUCCCAGCUGGAAUGAAAUUUGCCCUGCUGACGGGGGCUUUUUAUGAGUUUGUCUGAGGCCUUAUUAAAAAAAAACUCUGGUUUUGGCACGCUGGUGCAGUGAGCUCCGCUGUGUGCACGGGGUCCCAGAGGAGCCCUGGGACAGGGCUUGAUCGCACCCCAACAGGACUGCUGCUGCGUGGGGAUGCUAGGGGCUUGCUUUUAUAGGAGAGGCUCCAUUCUAAUUAUGCAAAGCCUCGCAGGCAAACGUGAAAGGAAUGAACUCUACCCCAACAAAAGCUGUGCUGUUCAGUGCUCCGUGAGCUCCAGCCCUCAUUGCCUGCUGUGUUGGGUGGUUGUUUCGCGUGUGUUUCUUAGGAGGAGGCAGCGUGGUGUCACCUGGGGACACCUCACACAGUGCAGUGAUGGAGGCACAGGGGUCAGUGUCCCCACAUACGGGGAGGGGACCGGCCCCACCUGUGUGCCACCCAACCCCCAUAGUGCAGCCCAGUGCCUCCCGUCUUAUUACAGCCCCACUGCUGCUGCCCAUCAGUGCCGCCCCAAGUGUUAACCCUGGGCACGAGGGACGUGAAGAAUCCAGUUACAUGGAGGAUACAGAGCCAUGAGACGACUGCCAAAAAUGGAGCCAUCGCCUGGAAUAGCAGUUAGGGAUCUCUGAGCUCUCUGCAGGACCCGCAGGGGAGCUCCUCGCAGUCCUGUCCCACCCCACGUUGAGUUGCAAGGUGCAAAUUCCCAUCAGGAGAAGCGCCAUCCGAUCCCUGUGCAAAGAGAAGGGACUGUGGACACAGCAGGAUGCAGCCAAGGAAUGUUCUUGGUCUUGGCACCCACAGGCACAGCUAAAAGGCAGCGCUGCACCAGUGCACGCUCAGAGCUCUCUGGGAUAUCCAGGGGAUGCUUUUACCCGAUGGUGCAGAUGUCAGCCCCAAACCCUUUGCUAUAAGAGGUUUCCCAGCAGCUUGUCCAAGCUGGUAAAGCAGCACGUUGCAAAACUGAACAGAAGCGCUCAGGCAGUUUUCCAGAGAGCCAUGUGCAAUGCUGCUGGGGGACCCAAGGGCAGAGUCCUGGGGCUCCGUGUAAUUUAGCUUAAAAAAGAUGUGGUGUUUUCAGCAAAAACCGCUUCUGAUGCUGAUUCAGACCCUUGCAAGGCCACGUGCUGCUUUGCUGGGGACUUUGCAGCAGGGUUCUGCUCCCUUUGCAGUGUGUGCUGUGCUGGAACAGAGGGUCCCACGAGUGCACAUUUUUGCAGAGAGGGUGGAAAAUUGCUGAAUGCAGACUUUGUGUUGGGCUCUCUUUGCAGCCAGGAGGCUCCCAACAGCAGUGCCCCCCUCCCUGCUCUGUGCUUAAGGGUUUGCUCCCCUCGGCAUUGUCUGUGUGUGAUGAGGGAAAACAGAGGCCGAUAGCGCUGUGGAUUCCUCCUUUGAGUGGAAAUGCAGCUCUUUGUUAAUGCUUGCCAUUGCUAUGUGUUAAGUGGGGAGUCCAGCGUGUAUUUAUUUACCUCUGGAGGGUUUUAUGACCUCCACAUGCACAUUCUUUGCUGAUCUGAAGGCGCAGCCAUGCGCGUGCCAGCACUGCAGGGCCAAUCCCCACGCGGCGCUUCUGCUCCGGGGUCAGCUCACAAAGAGAAGGUCAGAGCAAAGACAGGCGGUGUUUGGGAGCCGAUAACCACCCGUCCAGCUGAAAGGGGUCUGAUUUCCCCAUCUGAAGGGAGAUCUUUGAUUAGUGACUGAUGGGGCAACUUCAAACGCCGGCGGCUCCGGCUGAGAUAAGCGCUCAGACCUGGGAAGCUCCUUCCCAAUGCCUCUUUGAUCUGGAAUUAGGGCUGGAAAUCUCACUGGCUUUAUGGGGAGAUUUCCAGGGUUUUAAUGAUGGGCACAAUGGGAUCCACUUGGUUUCCCAGCGCUGAGCUUCCAGCUCCACAGGGACACAAGGGGCUCCGGCUCCCCAUGGAGAGCAGCCCCAACCCAUGUCCAAGAGCUGAGUAAAUGGACCAAACAUUACUGCAUCGGGGUUUGGGGGAAACCACCCCCACUCCCAGGGGCCCCCCUCCCCCCGCAGAGAGGUUCCCCCAACACCCAAUGAUGUGUGCCAGGUGGGCACGGUGUCUGCUCGCAUCUGCUCCCACAGUGGAUGCCAACAGAGCAACGUCAGUCCCCUCCAUACUUUGCAGCGUAAAAUGUGUCACACCUGGAAGUAAUUAGAAUGAAUUUUUACUAAUUCAUAACUAAUUGCACAAUUACUCUUCUAUGAAAGAUUCAGCUCUCGGAAGACACUUCGACACGUGAAAUCCACUUCUCCAAAUCUGACUGAAGGAAAAAGCAGGAGAACAUCGGGUGGCACUCACAGCACUACAUUCCUUCCCAGCAGAGCUGCUCCUCCAUCCGGGGAUGGCACAGCCGUGUCCCUGUGCCCGGCCCCACCGCAUGCCCCCACCCCACCGCACACUGCUGCCUAGGGCUGCAUGCUUGCAAAUGAUGUUUACUAUUUAAUAGGAUGUGAUGAGACUGUUCUGAUACUUCAAAGGCAGCUGACAGUUUUGUUAGAGAUAAGGAACUUUUGGACAAUUAUGGUGAAGGCUUUGACAGCAAGAAAACGCACAAACCUUGUAACUGUAACCAGCACCAAAGUCAGAGAUUCUUCCCUGGAAACAACUUGAAUAUUCAUUUUAUCCAUUAAGCGUCACUUCGUUAUUUAUUUAUUUUUAUUUCACGUUCCUUUCUGUCACUUGGCUUCCUUCAAGCCCAGGAGAGAUCUUUUCUUGUUACGAGACAUACAUCUUCCCCCUCCCUCAGCUUUCCCAGCUCUGAGCAGGCUGCACAGCUCCCUCAGUCUGUCUGUCUGUCUGUCUGUCCAUACAGCCAUCCAUUUGUCCGCCUGUGUGUCCAUCCAUGUGUCUGCCUCUCUGUGUGUCUGUCUGUCCAUCCUCUGUUCCCAAGCUCUCUCAGCCCUUUGGGGAGCAGGGAGUGGAUACAGUAGUCACUGCACAAUUCCCUUUGGGCCAAAGGGAACUGAGGGCUCUCUGAGGUCCAGUAGCCUUGGUUGGAGGGCUGCGUGUCCGCCUCUCAUUUAAGGCUGGACCCCAACCCCUGGGCUGGACCCUGGUGGGAAAGACACUGUGCACUCAGCCAGGAUGAGCAAAGCCUGGAUCACCUGGUGCAGGACCACUGCGUGGUGCAGGGAUGCUCAGGCAGCACGUUUCUUUCCAUCACCACCUUCUGCUAAUCAAUCUGCCGAAAAGGCGGUUUGAUACUAGGGCAUAAAGCUGAAGCCAUGGAUCUAAGGAUCCUGCAUGGUGCCAACGGGGCAUGCAGUGACAGCCACCGGUGCGUGCAGUGACAAUGACCGGCAAUGGGAAUCCUACGCGGCCGCAGCACGGCGGCACAGAGCGCUGCUCUGUGCAGGGAACAGCUUUGUGCAGCCAGCAGGGCCCCGUCUCUGUCAGAACGCCUUUGCAAAGCCUCCAGCUCCGGGUGUCAGGGAGGACAAGUUUUUUAAUCAUGUUAAAAUGAUUUAUUUAAACGUCAAGCCGUGUCACCUCACUUCCUUUCAUUUUUCAAACUGUUUGUGUUUUUGCUGGAUGAUAAAUUUAUCUUCAGACAGCCUCAAUAUGACUAAUUAACUUUGAAAUAUAAGAACCAGAUGUGUGAGCUGGAGAGCUUUCUGAACCCGUGCCAGGCGCUCCUCUCCUCCCUCCCCGCCUCCCACGCUCCCCCCUCACUGCAGCUCACGCAGAAGCCCUGGUCCCCACUGCACCCAAAAUGGCCUUUUUUUCCCCCAUUAUGGUGCCCCCAUAAAGGGAAACAACACUGAGUGACUGCUUGCAGAGAAACCCUAUGGUGUAAAGGGGGCUGUCCCCUCUCCUUUCAUUGUUGCAGUGCUGGAAGAAGUCGGGCGCUCACGUACCAACUAACUCUGCACCCAACAGUUCUGUAAUUCUGUGUAAUUAAGCAAAGCUGAAAUCCCUCCAUGCCCACGCAUGGCCUCUCCCCACCACAAAUCCCAGCGUUAAAAAGCUGGAGAAAUCCCAGUUUUCAGCUUUAUUUCACAAUUCCGUUGGGUGCACGCAACGUGCAGGACAUUAAGGUCGGGAUGGACCAAAGCCACGUGCCCUGCUCUGCUUUCCAGCACAGCCACAGACGCAGAGCCUGGGGGGACAUGGCCUCUGUGGGGGUGGGAGAACCCUUUCCCAACCAGACCUCCUUUUUGGAAGCAUCUCUCCAUAUCACAUUGAGCUCCAGUUGCAAUGGAUGCAGCUGUGCGCCGUCAGUGGGAUCCCACGCGCCCUCGUUGGCCAACUCUCAUCCCCUGUCUGGUGCACUGCACAGCCCUGCUCUGUGCCUCGCUGGGGGGGUGGCAUCGCCUGUCACGCAAAUUUCAACAAAUACCUUUUGAGCCAAAACUGAUUUUUUUUCUUUCUUUUCAAACAAACUGUAAAUAUUCAUAGAAAAAUGUUGAUUUUGGUGGAAAUUUUCUUGAUCUUCUUGGAAAUGGCAAGCAAAAAUAAUGUUUUUUUAAUUUGCUUUUCGAAAGUAUGGGUUUUUUUUUUUCUUUUUAAGUUUUCAUUUCUACAAUGUUAAAUGUAUUCCAUGGAAAAAAUUCAGCCACAGAAUUACUUGGGCCAUGCACAGGGAGAUGGCAGCUGUGUCCCAACCCUUCACAGCAUGUGGUCUUCUAAAGGAGUGCUUUGGUUUUGGUCCUGCCUUCAUCAGCAAGACACAGGUCAAUGGUUUUAAUUACAGCUCUCCUGGGAUGGGAUGUGGAUGGGAUGGGAUGGAGGUGGGGAUGGGGAUGGGAAUGAGGAUGGGAUAGGAUGGGG
Gallus gallus (chicken) is the source of this 20985-nucleotide long non-coding RNA. RefSeq lists it as uncharacterized. The record is from RefSeq and is a predicted model, not a curated record. NCBI's taxonomy places the organism in Eukaryota, Metazoa, Chordata, Aves, Galliformes, Phasianidae. The transcript has 4 exons.